AAUAAAAAUUGUUAUUCAAUUUUAAGAGAAUUGGCGGUGAUUAAAUAUAUUUUGAGAAACUUGUAUAUUAAGUGAUAUUACACAGAUUAUCUUACCUAAUCUUUAUGUAUUGCUGUUAAUUCAAGUCAAAAUGUAGUUUUUUUAGGUUAUUAUUGGAUUAAAAUGUGUAGUUAGUUUAUUUGUUUUUUUAUCAUGU
Molecule: ribosomal RNA, 196 nt
Filed under: Baalrog sbordonii
Lineage: Eukaryota; Metazoa; Arthropoda; Arachnida; Schizomida; Hubbardiidae
Description: partial small subunit ribosomal RNA
Source: RNAcentral